Molecule: long non-coding RNA, 1192 nt
Organism: Homo sapiens (human)
Lineage: Eukaryota; Metazoa; Chordata; Mammalia; Primates; Hominidae
Exons: 4
Source: RefSeq, a predicted model, not a curated record
ACCGACGGACGGGCCUAGAGUGGUGAGGGGAGAGGCCUGGUGGUUUCCCGCUGCUCCCGCCCUUCGCCCUGCCUCCCUCGCUCCCUGCUUCUCAGCACUCCCCACCUCCAUGAUGGUUUUGAGGCCCUGGGCCUCAAGUUUGUUUUGCUUCAGCCCAAGGUAAACAUGCCUGUUUAAUUUAUGGAGAAACAUCUGCAGAGUCCAGUUUUAUGGCUUGUUCUUUGAAACGAUCACUUCGGAUACAUAAAAAAUGAGGUCAGUAACAUUGAGUCCCAAAGCAAAGAGCCGGCCUUUCCGGGCUCACCACGUAGCUUCCUCCCCGGCCCUGCUCAUGGCCCUGCCUGGCUGUCUCCUCUGCCUGGAGGCCUCUCACUCACCUUUAGGGUGGGCUCCUGGCAGGGCAGGGUGGCCUGAGGGGCCUUAGGGAGGAUUUAGGGGUGAACACCCAAGAUCCCGGGUCCAUGAGAUUCCUGGAGCCAGGAGAAGGUGGCUUCACCACUCAAUUCAGUCAUAGGGACCAGCCAGGCCCAGUCCCACAGAUGAGGAGUCCUGGAGGGUCCUAGGCCUGCUCAGGUCCUCAGGAAGCAGAUGCUGAGCGGACCUGGGGCAUGCGACAGGUGACAGUAAUGCCCAGAAGAGAUGGGGCGUCAGGAGUCACCCGACUGGCCUGAAAAUCUGAUGGCACCUCCAGCGCCACGGCGAGCUCUGGGGCCAGGGCCACCUGCUGCAGGGACCACGGGUUGAGUGGCAACAUCCAGGCCCCAGCCACUUGCAUCUCAGCCACUGGAAAGGGGACAGCCACCAUCCGAGCCCCCCAUCCAGGGGUUCCCAUGUGGGGACACCUUCUGGCAGCCCAGCUGAGCUCCCACCCCUAGCAAACACUGCCGGCCUCUCACCCCAGAGCGCUUUCAAUGGCAGCAGCCUCCAAGGGCACCCACUGAGAGACCCCAACUGAGAGCCCCCAACCACGCCCUCCGAACUCCUGGCCAGUGGGACGAGACACACUUCUGCCCACUGAGAAGGUCCUCGGCCUUGAUGUCCAGCUCUGCGGUGACGGAACCUGGACAGAGAGAGCAGGACCCCAGCAUGAGAGUAGCAAUGGACGUCACAGCAAAACAUCCACGUUUCACAGUCACGACUUCCAGGAGCAAACCGAGCCUCUCCAGCAGCAGGGUGAGAGGUGACAGGGCAC